Molecule: ribosomal RNA, 425 nt
Filed under: uncultured prokaryote
Description: bacterial SSU rRNA
Rfam family: Bacterial small subunit ribosomal RNA
Source: RNAcentral
UGGGGAAUCAUGGUCAAUGGGCGAAAGCCUGAACCUGCGACGCCGCGUGAGUGAUGAAGGUCGUAAGAUCGUAAAACUCUUUUCAGGGAUCUUAAAGCCUGUCUGUCAACAACAGGCAGGUCUGACUCUCCCUGGAAGAAGCCCCAGCCAACUACGUGCCAGCAGCUGCGGUAAUACGUAGGGGGCGAGCGUUAUUCGGAAUUACUGGGUGUAAAGGGUAUGUAGGCGGCCCUUCAAGUCGCGUGUCAAAGUCCAGUGCUCAACGCUGGGGGUGCGCGCGAUACUGACGGGAUUGAGGGCUGGAGAGGUGAGCUGAAUUUCCGGUGUAGUGGUAAAAUACGUAGAGAUCGGGAGGAACACCAGCGGCGCAGGCGGCUCACUAGACAGUUUCUGACGCUAAGAUACGAAAGCGUGGGGAGCAAACA